AUAUCGCGAGGUGUCAGCAGCCGCGGUAAUACGUAGGUGGCAAGCGUUGUCCGGAAUUACUGGGUGUAAAGGGAGCGUAGGCGGGGAGACAAGUUGUAAUGUUUAAACUAUCGGCUCAACUGAUAGUCGCGUUCAAAACUAUCACUCUUGAGUGCAGUAGAGGUAGGCGGAAUUCCUAGUGUAGCGGUGAAAUGCGUAGAUAUUAGGAGGAACACCAGUGGCGAAGGCGGCUUACUGGACGGUAACUGACGUUGAGGCUCGAAAAGCGUGGGGGAGCAAACAGGAUUAGAUACCCCUGGUAGUCCACGCCGUAAACGAUGAAUACUAGGUGUCUGGGGGGCAAAGCCCUUAGGUGCCGCCGCAAACGCAUUAAGUAUUCCACCUGGGGAGUACGUUCGCAAGAAUG
Molecule: ribosomal RNA, 406 nt
Filed under: uncultured bacterium
Lineage: Bacteria
Description: bacterial SSU rRNA
Rfam family: Bacterial small subunit ribosomal RNA
Source: RNAcentral